This is a long non-coding RNA of Culex quinquefasciatus (southern house mosquito), 1137 nucleotides long. RefSeq lists it as uncharacterized. The record is from RefSeq and is a predicted model, not a curated record. NCBI's taxonomy places the organism in Eukaryota, Metazoa, Arthropoda, Insecta, Diptera, Culicidae. The transcript has 3 exons.
CACAUGAGAAAGAAGAUUUUUAAACGUCAAAUUACAUCGAUAUUUUGCACUGUGCACCGCGCAGAGGUAACGAGAAACAAGUGCCAAGGUGUGUGCAAUAAAAAUCAGACAAUCAUUUUAAGAGGUGUGUAAAGAGAGAGAUUGUAAAACAAGACUAGCGAAAGGAGACAAAAAAGAAGAGUAAACUGCAAGUAAGUAAGUUAGCCCGAAAGCACACUUAAAGAGCAAAGAGUAAAGUGCAGGUAGUACCAAGUGAGUAACAAAAAAGUGAACAAGUAAAGUUCCCCUCCCCACUUUUUUUUCUUCUUUCGUUUUCUGCGACCCAAGCAAGUAGCACUAAUACUUGUUGCUUAAAGUGCCAGGCCGCAAUUAUGAUGCGGCUUAAGUGCAGGCGUGUGUGUACACACGCACGACUCUUUCAACAUCGGCAGGCAGGCAUGUUCGAGGCACUUUAAGCCAGUUGCCGAUCAGUUUCAGCAAUCAGUUUCGGUCGGGCAGUACUUCGGGGAUUUUCGCGUUUUGGUAGCUUCAAAUUUGGUGUACCUUAAUUUUUUGUCGUCGUCGCUGCACCGCUUCUACCCCCAGCUUCAAGACAGGUCUUCAGGACUUGUGACGCUCAGUUUGAACCAGGUUCUCGCGGACGAAAGAGCGCCAAAGUUUUCCGCAAAUUUCAUUACAAAGAUUUUCAUCGCCCAGGAAAAAGUGAGCAAAAGUGAAGGGAAAAUUCUUGUGAAGCAAAAAUUGAUGCGGAGCAAAAGUUCGUUAAAUUGAGUGAGUGAAGCGAAAAGCCGGCGCUAUUAAGUAAUAGGGUUUGCGGAGCCGUUGAAGGGGACCGACAUUUUCCGAGGAAAAUUGCAGUGUGCGGUCAGCCGGCGAAAAUUUGCCGCUCAAGUUUUGGCGGCGGAAAGUCGAACGGUGCUUGCAAGCUGGGAAAGCUUUUCACAGGACCACGGGAAGGAAUACUUUUAAAAGUCACCACCAAGAUGUCUAGCCACCAACAACAACAACAGCAACGACGCCGCCACCGCACCCCGGUCUACUGCGAUCAGCUGGCGUCGUGGCUUCUGCUGGCGGUCUUCGCGGUCAGCACGGUGCUGCUCUGUUGCUGCGUAACCAGCGCCCAGGCCCAGCCCCAGA